Molecule: transfer RNA, 71 nt
Filed under: Dermophis mexicanus (Mexican burrowing caecilian)
Lineage: Eukaryota; Metazoa; Chordata; Amphibia; Gymnophiona; Dermophiidae
Description: tRNA-Ile
Source: RNAcentral
GAUAUGUGCCCGAAAAUUCAAGGAUCACUUUGAUAGAGUGAAUAUAUAUGAGUUUAAACCUCUUCAUAUCU